GGGAGCGUAGCUCAGUUGGGAGAGCGCCGCCCUUACAAGGCGGAGGUCGGAGGUUCAAGCCCUCUCGCUCCCACCA
Molecule: transfer RNA, 76 nt
Filed under: Actinomycetota bacterium
Lineage: Bacteria; Bacillati; Actinomycetota
Description: Actinobacteria bacterium tRNA-Val
Rfam family: tRNA
About the family: Transfer RNA (tRNA) molecules are approximately 80 nucleotides in length. Their secondary structure includes four short double-helical elements and three loops (D, anti-codon, and T loops).
Source: RNAcentral